This is a long non-coding RNA of Anopheles coluzzii, 968 nucleotides long. RefSeq lists it as uncharacterized. The record is from RefSeq and is a predicted model, not a curated record. Lineage: Eukaryota; Metazoa; Arthropoda; Insecta; Diptera; Culicidae. The transcript is spliced from 2 exons.
UUACAGCUGUGAUUGUGGGUGGUUGUUGUGUGCAAUUCGAUCGGGAGUUGCUAAUUUUGUUCACCUGUAAAACCUGUAAGUUGGAUGAAAUCAAAUUGUUACCAUGAGCGGUUCGAAUGUGGGAGCUACUAGCUGUGGAUGCGGGCAAGAAUGCAAUUGCACAAGCAUUGCUAACGAAAAUGCCAAACAAUUACAUACUUUAAAAAAUUUGAUACUAGAUGCAAAUAUGAAAUUAGACGAGCUUAUGGAAAUGCAACUAAAUCAACAAAUCCAGCCUCGGCCAAUUAUUGAAAAUGUGGUGCCGGAAGAAGUAAUUGAAGAAGCUUUCGCGUUAAUUUCAUCCAAAGUAGAUUUGGACAAGCUCGAGCAGGAUUUGGUGGUGACAGAGCAUUUCCGAUCGAUUAAAUCAGGUCUCAUGAAAAGGAUCAAGUCGGUAGGGAUUAAAGCAAGGCUGCAUGACGCUCUGUAUCUAGUUUUUAAUAGAAUUUUUGUAUCUGAGUGCUCUUGGAGCGGAAUCGGUCGCAGCGGACCUAAAAUUGAAUUUAGGAAAUAUGUACAUGUUUUAAAGCUAUUUAAGGAAAUUUCAGGGAGCAGAGAUUAUUCGGAAGUAGAGAAAUUUUUCAGUACAAAGUUACGAAAUGCAGGAACAGCAGCAAAAAGGACCGGAGUGGUCAAAAGUGUUAGCCGAGGGCAAUACUCGAAAAAAAAGAAAUGUAAUAUUCAAAAGAAUUAUAUAUUAAAUAGUACUUAAUGUAGUUAUGGGUAAAAAGUAUGUUGAAAUUAAUUUUGAUGGUGUAGAUAAAGAAUUUGUGAAAUGUUAACUAUUUUAAGUAAUACUUAAGUUGUGCACUGGCUGUGCAUUCUUUAAUUCACAGUUGCGAACAGUUAAGUUUGGUGUUGCAAGUGAAUAGCGAAUAAUGUUAUGAAUGUGAAGACAAGUAGAAUAAUAAAUGAAUUAUGAAACGUUC